GGCCAUGAAGAGGCAGAACGUGCGGACCCUGUCCCUCAUCAUCUGCACGUUCACCUACCUGCUGGUCGGGGCUGCCGUCUUUGAUGCCCUGGAGUCCGACAACGAGAUGCGGGAGGAGGAGAAACUCAAAGCCGAGGAGAUCCGGCUCAAAGGAAAGUACAACAUCACCACCGAGGACUACCGGCAGCUGGAGUUGGUGAUCAUGCAGUCCGAGCCGCACCGGGCUGGUGUCCAGUGGAAAUUCGCCGGCUCCUUCUACUUUGCCAUCACGGUCAUCACGACCAUUGGUUAUGGACAUGCUGCCCCAGGGACUGACGCAGGGAAGGCCUUUUGCAUGUUCUACGCAGUCCUGGGGAUCCCACUGACACUCGUCAUGUUCCAGAGCUUGGGCGAGCGCAUGAACACCUUCGUCAAGUACCUCUUGAAACGCAUCAAAAAGUGCUGUGGGAUGAGGAGCACCGAGGUCUCCAUGGAAAACAUGGUCACUGUGGGUUUCUUCUCCUGCAUGGGAACACUCUGCAUUGGAGCAGCAGCCUUUUCCCAGUACGAGGAAUGGAGCUUUUUCCAUGCUUACUAUUACUGCUUUAUAACAUUGACUACAAUAGGGUUUGGAGACUAUGUGGCCCUGCAGACCAAAGGGGCCCUUCAAAAGAAGCCUCUCUAUGUGGCUUUUAGCUUUAUGUACAUUCUAGUAGGGUUGACAGUCAUUGGGGCAUUUCUAAAUCUGGUUGUUCUCAGGUUCUUAACCAUGAACAGCGAGGACGAGAGGCGGGAUGCCGAGGAACGGGCAUCCCUGGCAGGGAACCGCAACAGCAUGAUUAUCCACAUCCAAGAGGACUCUCAGCAUGGUCGGCCACGGUACAAGGCCGAAGUAACAGACCUUCAGUCAGUUUGUUCCUGCAUGUGUUACAGGUCCCACGAGUACACCAGCCGGGUGGUGUCCCACCAAAAUUCGUUCAGCUCGAAGCUGAACCCCCAGUACUUUCACUCCAUCUCUUACAAGAUAGAGGAGAUCUCGCCAAGCACAUUAAAAAACAGCCUUUUCCCGUCUCCUGUCAGCUCCAUCUCACCUGGGUUGCACAGCUUUACAGAUAACCACAGGCUGAUGAAAAGGCGAAAGUCCAUUUAAAGUGAUUUGUCUUCUUUUGCUUUCCUUGUUUUCCCCAGUUCUUCUUCGUUGUUUUGUUUCUGUUUUGUUCCUUGAAUGAGACAGAGCGAGGCCAAAGGGAGUAGAGAAAGCCAGUCCUCCUCUGAGACUCAGCUCUUGAGCAUGAAGCAUGGAUUAUUACUGUUCCAGCAAAGUAUGCCUUACAUUACCCCCUCGGUGGAUGUCAGAGGAUUCAAGGUGACGUGAAGUCCUCUCAUUUGUUUCCUAGUGCUUUGACUGAAGGAAUGCCUGGACAGUAAUCAAGAGUAUCGUGACUCAAACCCAAGCAAGGUAAUUUCUUUUUCACUCUGACAGAUUUGAAAGCCUUUGUUAGGAAAAAGGUAUCGUUUGUUGCUAAAAGCUUAAAAAAGAGCAAUGAAUGGAACCAAGAUGGAGAAUGAAAAUGUUCCAGAAUGAUCUGGUCCACGCAGACUGGAGGGCAGAGGCUUGGGUGGAAGUAGCCUUUACUGAAGUUUAUACUCUCAUUUAGCUUUUUUUUAAUAUUCCUGUUAAUAUUAGGAUCUAAUUAAGAUAGUCAUUGAAAAUCUUUAUGAGGAAGCUAGACCACGGAGAUGUAUUGGAGUGUGUCCCUUAAACUAAUGUUACGGACUUUUUAAUGCAUAUUUCAACAAGACACACUUAUUAACUGGAAUAUUGUGCUAAUUACAAUGAAAGUCACACUAUCACUACUUUUCCCAACUAAAGGUGUAUAGUACUCACAGAACUGAAAAAGAAACAUUGUCUAUUUGACCAGCCUGCCUGUCAUCUGACUUUAAGAUCAAACUUUAUUUUAGGAGCUUUAGCAAGAUAAGUAAUAUGAAAAGGGUUAGCCAUCGUAAUGAUACGCUGAGAUUGAACCAAAUAGAAUAAUGACAUUGGAUGAGGAAAAAUUGAUUACAGAUGGAAGGUGCUCUGGGACUUUUAUGCUAGUUAAUCUGAACUCAGAGACUGAAUUAAAGCCAUGAAAACUGAUGGUACCCAUUGCCAAAAUGCAGUUUGCAGUUAUUUAGGAUGUAGAUAACGAACACAGCAGAGGGAUUUUCACCUGAAGAAGUAGUAGCAAGGCAAAAAGAAAGACAGAAAGAAUGAAAUCCUGCUCAACAGCUGGAGUAGUUAUGUUAUUUCCAACUGAAACCACAAUGAGAUAGUUCUGAAAAAGACUUGUGUUUUGAUCCAGAUAGAAUUAGUCUGGGAGAUAUCCUUUGCUCAGACAUGGUCUAUGCUUAUCCUUGUUCACCUGAUCAGAAAUUAACUUGCAGACGCUUCCUGCUCACCAUACCCACUUUCCAGCCCACCUCUGAGUGUGUCAGGAACAGGUGAGCCGAUAGGACAGGAAGGGGUUAAAGGCGAUGAAAUGGGGCUCCAUAGGGAAGUGUGGAGUCCUGCAGACCCCCUGGGUUGCAUGUUUUAAAGGCCCUGGCCUGCUGUGCAUUGCUCAGCCCUUCACUCACAACAUUGCACUGGUUACUGCUGAUACAGAAAUGCGUGGAGUUCCUGAUCAUCCAGGCAGAUUUUUUGCUGCUCCCUUCAUGGAAACUAAGACUUAAUUCAGCCAGCCCAUCCUGAGCAGUGCUGAUCGCAGUGAUACAUUAUGCUAGGGACGUUAUUUCCUUUAGUGGUGGUCCUAAGUAAAAGGGCUCAGUAGCGUGUAAGGAAACUCUUAAGUACUUAGCUAGUCUAGAGCCUGGAGUGCCAGGAUCUUCCUCUGAAGUCAAUGGAAGCUUUACUGGAGCUAACUUUGUCCAGACCGGUCCUAAGUCUUUCAUUUCCUUGGAAAUUGUUUGGUGAUUGUUCCUAUUUUUAAUUUUCUGCGAAGAAGCUUCUCCAAAAUGCCUGAUUGAUUCUCAGUCAGUGUUGUGGUAUCCUUUGCACAAAUUUCCAAGUCAUGUACAUGUACACCAGUAUUCCUCUAGGGAAAACUCCAGCAUAAAGCUUCAAAUAAAAGAGCUUCUAGCAUUUGUGGCCCCUUUACACUGGGUGCUGCAUUCAGUUCACAGAAGUCACUUUCUGUGUGCACUGGAGAAAGCAGGCACAGAGGUGCAUGAUGGUUGGGUGUGCACAUACCCUAGGUGGAUGUUGCAGCUGGUAAGCCGGACCUUGCUAUAGUAUUCUCUGAAACCAGUGACUUUAUACUACUGUGAGUGGAUAAGCUAAGGAGAAAUGUAGGGCACUAAAAUAACAAAAAGUUAGUACUGUAGGGCUAAUUUUUGUUUGUGCAGUUUUCUGUUUUUUAUCUGAUUUUGGUGCGAUGCAAUGAGUCCCAAUUUAUAUCCGUCUUACGGAAACUGGAGUGUGGACCUGUAUUUAUUUACUAUACAGUAAAUACAUAUAUAUAUACAAUUAGAUAUUAUAAUGUUACCUCCAGCUAGUGAUUGCUGUGAACAAACUUUACUAAAUAUAACAGUGGAUCAGAAAAACCUGAAGACAACAGUCAACCUGUAUAACUCAUGCUACUGUAUUUUGCUUUAUGGAAUCCAGGCAACCAAAGCUACUCAGCUAAUUUUAGGCUGGAAAUAUUAUCCUUGGAGCCUUCAGCCUUCAGUUGUCUCUUCUUCUGUGAAUAUUGUAAUUAACAAAUGUCCCAGAGCCUUCCCCCAAACUUGCUUCCUGGCCAUGUAAGGAAUGCUGCCAUAUAUCAACACCCACAACAGAUCAGGGAAAAAAAAAAGGGAAAGGGAAAGGAAAGGAAAGAUUAAUGCUGCAAUUUUGUUGGUAAUUAAUAUUCACAGUUCCAAGCUGUGUCAUCUUUGGUUCACUUUGAGAAAUGCAGAGCAAACAGCAGCGUGAUAAAAUUUAUCAUAGGUGGCUAAUUCACAAAUGGAGCUAGCAAAUAUAAUAAUUGAAACUAUGCUCUGUAAUGCAUCUCCGUCAUGCGCGAGUUCUGAUACCACUAGCCUGGCUUUGAUUCACUGUUUAUCUGGUCUGUGGAACAGCUUGCAGUAAUUGCUCUAUCCAGAGCACUAUACUGGAGGCUAGAAGAAAGAUCCGUUUCACAGACAGUGGCCCUCCGGCUUUCUCCAUACACUCUCCCCAUUUCCUGCCCUGACAUUAACUCGUUAGCCAUUUCGUAGACGUAUGUUCAAGUCCGAGAUCACCACAUUCUGUACUUUCCCCCAUCAUGUUUUAAUGAAAAGCCUUAUAUUAAAGAACUGCACCCUGGGGAAGAAAAUGUUCCACUCUAAUUACUACUGCCAAAAGAAAUCUACAGAUUGAUUAAAAACAAUACUUGGGGAAUCAAACAGGAAAUGUAAAGUGCACAAACCUGCACAUGUGAGAUCCAUUUCUACCUUAGCCAAGAUGCAAUGUUUCAGCCCAGGAGGAGAAUUUGGAAUUAUGCUUCCUUGGGAGAAGUCCUAGGCACCAGCAGAAAUGGCAGCACAAAGCGAAUGAGCAAACAAAGCAACAUAAUGGUUUACUCAUUCUCUGUAGAUCAUUGGCAAAGUUUGUGGUGUGAUUUCAAAUUGAAGGAAGAGCUGUGGGUCUUCCUGGUUUAGUCUAUCUGCUAAUUCUCUGCCAUCUUCCUCCCACAGCAGAAGCAACAGGAGGUGCAAGAAGGAUGGAGCAUGGCUGGUUCAUGGUGGGGUGGAUUGUUGGUGCAACCACAUUUCCAGUCUUGAGGGAAAGCAGGAAACAGGGAAAAAUGUCUCUUCUAGAGGUCUUUUCGCUCUUCUUGUCCUGGUAGAGGUCAGUUACGCCAUCUCUCCUAGCUCCUGCUGCAAACCCACAGUCUAACCACUGUGGCUCUGAGAGACCUGGACCAUGGUAUCCUUACUCAGCUUGAUGGUACCUCCAAAGAGUUGUGCUGUAGAAAUGUGUGGGAAAUGCUGAGCUGCUCCAGCUGGGUGUAGGAGGUCACAAUAUGGCAAAGAAACAUCUUUGUACUAACAGUGUUUGGACAGUUCCUACAUGUAGACCAAUAAUCAAAAUUGAGCUUUAGAGAAAUAAGAAUAAUUUGUUAUUGUUGGCUCUCCCUGCAAUACUGGUAUGCAUCUCCUUUAUUAAAAUUAUUGUUAACAGACUGAUUAAUCUGAUAAGAGUAUUUUAUUAGAUUAGCUGAAGUAGAGUGUGUAAAAGCUUUUGGCCUUCUCAGAGGCUGAAGUCUGAAACGUAUACAAUGAUUUCCAAAGGGCCUGCUUGGUGAUACUCCUGCUGACAGGAGGGGUCAUGUCACAGCUGUACUAAUGACAAGCAUCAUCUUGGCAAGUUGAGUGGCUCUCAUAAUGGGAAUUUCUGAGGAAAGGAGUUGAGGCAAGGUCCAAUAAAAGGAGUAAGGACCUUAGUUUCCACUGAAUUAAGUAGGUGCUUAAAUGUCUUUGUGGAGGUAGGCUUUGGACCUGAUUUUGUGUUACUUGUUACUUGAAAGAACUAGUACUGUAUCAUAGAUAGACGAUAUGAUCCAGAUGGUACUGAGCAAGAGGCUCAAUGAGGAAGGUGCAGCCACCUUUCUCUGUCACAGCCUGAAUUGCUGAGGGAGCACAUGCUAUUGAUAUACCCUUCUCCCAAACCCUGUCGGAGCCAGGUUAAAAAAGGCAGACCAAAAAGGUGAAUUUCUGCUUUGCCUCUGAGUGAGGGUAGCGAAGGGCAGGGGUAGUUUCUGACACUUGCCUUUGGACUGCGUGCUGGGCAAGAGCUUGGCACCGCACUCUUGUUAGGGACCAAGGCUGGAGUCAGGAGUCAUCUGCAUUUCUUUCAUAAGAUAUGAGUAACAUCACUUUCGCUCUUCACUCUUCACGGGUGUGUUGCAAAAGAUUUACUAGAAAGUGUCUGUCCAGGACCAUGAAACUAGUGUGUAGUGAGUUUUACUUGUACGUGUUCAAUUUAGAAAAAUGAGUUGCAAGAUUCUGUAGGAAAAAAAGGAAAAAAAAAAGACAACUGUCAGGCAUUC
This is an RNA transcript of Struthio camelus australis, 6032 nucleotides long. It is a transcript of the gene named potassium two pore domain channel subfamily K member 9, with no coding region annotated. The record is from RefSeq and is a predicted model, not a curated record. NCBI's taxonomy places the organism in Eukaryota, Metazoa, Chordata, Aves, Struthioniformes, Struthionidae.